This 600-nucleotide ribosomal RNA is filed under the name uncultured bacterium. RNAcentral's name for it is "bacterial SSU rRNA". It matches the Rfam family "Bacterial small subunit ribosomal RNA", at positions 719 to 1323 of the family's 1533-position model. The record is from RNAcentral.
AGGCAGCCUACAAGUCCUUUACUGACGCUAAAGCUCGAAGGUGCGGGUAUCGAACAGGAUUAGAUACCCUGGUAGUCCGCACGGUAAACGAUGGAUGCCCGCUGUUUGCGAUAUACUGUGAGCGGCCAAGCGAAAGCGUUAAGCAUCCCACCUGGGGAGUACGCCGGCAACGGUGAAACUCAAAGGAAUUGACGGGGGCCCGCACAAGCGGAGGAACAUGUGGUUUAAUUCGAUGAUACGCGAGGAACCUUACCCGGGCUUGAACUGCAGCAGAACGAUUGAGAGAUCAUGAGGUCCUUCGGGACUGCUGUGGAGGUGCUGCAUGGUUGUCGUCAGCUCGUGCCGUGAGGUGUCGGCUUAAGUGCCAUAACGAGCGCAACCCCUCUCUUCAGUUGCCAUCAGGUAGAGCUGGGCACUCUGGAGACACUGCCACCGUAAGGUGUGAGGAAGGUGGGGAUGACGUCAAAUCAGCACGGCCCUUACGUCCGGGGCUACACACGUUUGACAGGGGGUGGGACAAAGGGUCGGCAACCUGCAAAGUCCGUCCAAUCGCAAAAUCCAUCCUCAGUUCAGACAGGGGUGUGCAACCCGACCCCACGA